Molecule: long non-coding RNA, 347 nt
Filed under: Homo sapiens (human)
Lineage: Eukaryota; Metazoa; Chordata; Mammalia; Primates; Hominidae
Description: HSALNT0408771
Source: RNAcentral
CUCCAAUGCAGAGCUUAGCCAGUGAAGAUUCUUGGCUUUUCCCAGUAAAGAAUUCAAGGGCAAGCAGGAGAUAGAAGAAAACAGCUUUAUUGAAGACACGGUGUUACAGCUCCAGAGUCCUCAAUCUGGUCCGGUGUCCAAGCCCCGCCUCUGGAGUAGAGUCCUGUCUCCUACUUCAGAACCAGCAAUGGAGAGUGGAGAGCAGCAGCCACUAACGGAAGAGGGAAACCAAGAGACUAUGGCAUGGCAUCCUAGAAACCACGGGAAGAAAGGACAACAAGGAGAAGGGAGUGACUGUGUCAAAUGCUGCUGAUAGGUCCAGAAAGAUGAGGACAGAACAUACUGCC